Ctenopharyngodon idella (grass carp) is the source of this 1060-nucleotide long non-coding RNA. RefSeq lists it as uncharacterized. The record is from RefSeq and is a predicted model, not a curated record. NCBI's taxonomy places the organism in Eukaryota, Metazoa, Chordata, Actinopteri, Cypriniformes, Xenocyprididae. The transcript is spliced from 3 exons.
UGUUACAUACUACAUGAAAGGUAAUUUUAAAAAAAUCCAUAAUAGGGGCACUUUAAGUCUCAUCUGUGACACCGGGUGUAACGAAGCGAGACUCAGGCGGGGAUCCAUUUGCUAGCUUUAUUAUAAAAGAACGUGGUUGUACAGGCAGGGUCAAAGCAGGGGCAAACAGGAACAGCAGGGACAGGCAGAAUCGUAGUCAGGAUACAGGCAAUAGUCAGGGCAGGCAGAAAACACUCACAGAACAGUAUACCAGGCAAGGAUCAAAGGUAGGCAGCAACGGGUCGAUAACGGGUAACAGACAGGAUCGGAAACAAACAGGCAGACAGGAAAUAAACGCUCAGAAUUGCAACAAGGGUUAACAAGACUUCGCAAUGAGGUGGUGUGUGUGUGAGUCUUUUAUAGUCCAGGUAAUGAUCUGCAGGUGUGUGUGGCAAUUGGUGAUUGGAGUGGAGUGUGCAUGUGAUAGGCAAGGAGGAUUAUGGGAAAUGGGGUCCAGGAACUGACAGGAACAGACCGUGAUCGUGACAUAACGCCCCCCUUCCGGAUGGCGCGUCCUCGCGGCGUAAAUGGCACCGAUAGGGAGGGGGGGUGGGUGCAUUGGAGACGUAGACAGAAACAGGGUCUCCAAUGCAGAUCCAGGAACUCAGGCAGCCACGGUGGGUCAUGUGCCACGGGCAGCCAUGGUGGGUCAGGUUCCACGGGCAGCCAUGGCGGGUCAGGUUCCACGGGCAGCCAUGGCGGGUCAGGUGCCACGGGCAGCCAUGGCGGGUCAGGAGUGUCGGGAGGCCACGGCGGGUCAGGUAGCUCGGGCAACCACGGCAGGUCAGGUGGCUCGGGCGGCCACGGCAGGUCAGGUGGCUCGGGCAGCCACGGCAGGUCAGGUGGCUCGGGCAGCCACGGCAGGUCAGAGUCCGAAGAUGACCACGGCGGGUCAGAGUCCAUUAAUGGCCAUAGCAGGUCAAAGGCGGUUGAAGGCCGUGGUCGUGUAAGGUCCCCACCCACAAGCUCAAGCAGUUCGGAGGCCGCUGAUGAUCGCGGCCGUGCAGGGUCCCCACCCUCA